Long non-coding RNA from Mustela erminea (ermine), 558 nucleotides. RefSeq lists it as uncharacterized. The transcript has 3 exons. The record is from RefSeq and is a predicted model, not a curated record. NCBI's taxonomy places the organism in Eukaryota, Metazoa, Chordata, Mammalia, Carnivora, Mustelidae.
GAGCCACCCACGCAUCCUCGGCAUGACAUUUCUUACCUUCUUGUUUUUAUUCAUCUGCCUUCUCAAGCUUUGAAUCUUCACAGCUUCAUCUUUAAGACCCUAGUCCAGAUGCUUCAUCUGUAAAACCCACCAGCUUAACUGGAAAAUGAGGAUGUUGAGCUCAUCCUUCUGGAUACUUUCCAGCACUGUUAAGAAUUCAGCUUUCCCUCAACCCAUUUUGAGGACAAUACUUCCUACCCUGUCCUGCAGUGAGGCUGUGCCCAGGAGGCCAAUUUUGGCUCAAAGACUGUGCAGAAAAGUGAUAUGUGCACUUCUGGGUCAGAACAUUUAGUUCCAGUGUACGAUUCCCCAGCUCUCCCUUCCCUUGCUGCAGCAGUUGUGGAAGCCACGGAUUUAGAUGGUGGAGUCACUGGACAGAAACAGCCUGGAUCCCUGAGGCACCACAUGGAGCAGAGCAGCCCUCCAGAGCUGCCUGUCUUGCACCGGACACCUGUGGCUCAAGAAAUAUAAGCCUUUGCUGUGAGAAACAGCCAGAGAGGGAAUGGAAGCAGGAGGAGC